GACGAACGCUGGCGGCGUGCCUAACACAUGCAAGUCGAGCGAGGCGAAAGGGAAAGGACCUUCGGGGAAUAGAACUUAAGCCUAGCGGCGGACGGGUGAGUAACGCGUGAAUAACCUGCCCUAUACAGGGGGAUAGCCUCGGGAAACUGGGAUUAAUACCCCAUAAUACUAACACAUCGCAUGAUGUGAUAGUCAAAGUGUCAGCGGUAUAGGAUGGAUUCGCGUCCCAUUAGCUAGUUGGUGAGAUAACAGCCCACCAAGGCAACGAUGGGUAGCCGGCCUGAGAGGGUGAACGGCCACACUGGAACUGAGACACGGUCCAGACUCCUACGGGAGGCAGCAGUGGGGAAUAUUGCACAAUGGGCGAAAGCCUGAUGCAGCGACGCCGCGUGAGCGAUGAAGGCCUUCGGGUCGUAAAGCUCUGUCCUAAGGGAAGAACGAGACGGUACCUUAGGAGGAAGCCCCGGCUAACUACGUGCCAGCAGCCGCGGUAAUACGUAGGGGGCGAGCGUUGUCCGGAAUUACUGGGCGUAAAGGGUGCGUAGGCGGUCUAAUAAGUCAGAGGUUAAAGGCUUCGGCUCAACCGAGGUAAGCCUUUGAAACUAU
This 606-nucleotide ribosomal RNA is filed under the name uncultured bacterium. RNAcentral's name for it is "bacterial SSU rRNA". It matches the Rfam family "Bacterial small subunit ribosomal RNA", at positions 28 to 636 of the family's 1533-position model. The record is from RNAcentral.